ACUCUUGAAUUGCCAACAACUACUACAUUUGUUAAUAUAAAAUGUAUAUCGAUUAUAACUUUAAAUUUAUACAAAUAAAAUAUUACGUCACGGUCUAAAAUCCAAGUUCAUGAUGACACCUAUACAAAUUCGGCUAGUAGGCAAAUCAUCAGUUCUUCACCCCAAUCAAAUAUCAAGUCAAUAUCGUAAAAGUAACCCUCAAAAAUUCAAGAUUUCAUAAAUAGAAUAGAAGUGC
This 235-nucleotide long non-coding RNA is filed under the name Solanum tuberosum (potato). RNAcentral describes it as "long non-coding RNA (STUB_LNC007401)". The record is from RNAcentral. Lineage: Eukaryota; Viridiplantae; Streptophyta; Magnoliopsida; Solanales; Solanaceae.